This 460-nucleotide ribosomal RNA is filed under the name uncultured bacterium. Its description in RNAcentral is "partial 16S ribosomal RNA". It matches the Rfam family "Bacterial small subunit ribosomal RNA", at positions 338 to 795 of the family's 1533-position model. The record is from RNAcentral.
CCUACGGGCGGCAGCAGUGAGGAAUAUUGGUCAAUGGACGAGAGUCUGAACCAGCCAAGUAGCGUGAAGGAUGACUGCCCUAUGGGUUGUAAACUUCUUUUAUAUGGGAAUAAAAUGUUCCACGUGUGGGAUUUUGUAUGUACCAUAUGAAUAAGGAUCGGCUAACUCCGUGCCAGCAGCCGCGGUAAUACGGAGGAUCCGAGCGUUAUCCGGAUUUAUUGGGUUUAAAGGGAGCGUAGGUGGAUUGUUAAGUCAGUUGUGAAAGUUUGCGGCUCAACCGUAAAAUUGCUGUUGAAACUGGCAGUCUUGAGUACAGUAGAGGUGGGCGGAAUUCGUGGUGUAGCGGUGAAAUGCUUAGAUAUCACGAAGAACUCCGAUGGCGAAGGCAGUUCACUGGACUGCAACUGACACUGAGGCUCGAAAGUGUGGGUAUCAAACAGGAUUAGAUACCCCUGUAGUC